GAGGGUAUAGCUCAGUGGUAGAGGAUAUGCUUAGCAUGCACAAGGUCCUGGGUUCAAUUUCCAGUACCUUCA
RNAcentral lists this transfer RNA (72 nucleotides) under Camelus bactrianus (Bactrian camel). It matches the Rfam family "tRNA". From Rfam's summary of the family: Transfer RNA (tRNA) molecules are approximately 80 nucleotides in length. Their secondary structure includes four short double-helical elements and three loops (D, anti-codon, and T loops). Lineage: Eukaryota; Metazoa; Chordata; Mammalia; Artiodactyla; Camelidae. The record is from Rfam by way of RNAcentral. RNAcentral also lists the same sequence under 3 other names.